AGGAUAAUAGUUAAAUUUCUCAUAACAAUUGAUUUGCAGUCAAAAAUUAUUAUUUAUAAUUUAUCUUA
This 68-nucleotide transfer RNA is filed under the name Corynis lateralis. RNAcentral describes it as "tRNA-Ala". The record is from RNAcentral. Lineage: Eukaryota; Metazoa; Arthropoda; Insecta; Hymenoptera; Cimbicidae.